Molecule: ribosomal RNA, 418 nt
Filed under: uncultured bacterium
Lineage: Bacteria
Description: bacterial SSU rRNA
Rfam family: Bacterial small subunit ribosomal RNA
Source: RNAcentral
UGGGGAAUAUUGGGCAAUGGGCGCAAGCCUGACCCAGCAACGCCGCGUGAAGGAAGAAGGCUUUCGGGUUGUAAACUUCUUUUAUUGAGGACGAAACAAAUGACGGUACUCAAUGAAUAAGCCACGGCUAACUACGUGCCAGCAGCCGCGGUAAUACGUAGGUGGCGAGCGUUAUCCGGAUUUACUGGGUGUAAAGGGCGUGUAGGCGGGACUGCAAGUCAGAUGUGAAAACCAUGGGCUCAACCCAUGGCCUGCAUUUGAAACUGUAGUUCUUGAGUGAUGGAGAGGCAGGCGGAAUUCCGUGUGUAGCGGUGAAAUGCGUAGAUAUACGGAGGAACACCAGUGGCGAAGGCGGCCUGCUGGACAUUAACUGACGCUGAGGCGCGAAAGCGUGGGGAGCAAACAGGAUUAGAUACCC